GAACGAACGCUGGCGGCAUGCCUAACACAUGCAAGUCGAACGAGACCUUCGGGUCUAGGUGGCGCACGGGUGCGUAACACGUGGGAAUUUGCCUCGGGGUAUGGAAUAACUCAAGGGAAACUUGAGCUAAUACCAUAUAAUGUCUUCGGACCAAAGAUUAUCGCCCUGAGAUAAGCCCGCGUAGGAUUAGCUAGUUGGUGGGGUAAAGGCUCACCAAGGCGACGAUCCUUAGCUGGUCUGAGAGGAUGAUCAGCCACACUGGGACUGAGACACGGCCCAGACUCCUACGGGAGGCAGCAGUGGGAAUAUUGGACAAUGGGCGAAAGCCUGAUCCAGCAAUGCCGCGUGAGUGAUGAAGGCCUUCGGGUUGUAAAGCUCUUUUACUCGGGACGAUAAUGACGGUACCGAGAGAAUAAGCCCCGGCUAACUCCGUG
RNAcentral lists this ribosomal RNA (434 nucleotides) under uncultured bacterium. RNAcentral's name for it is "bacterial SSU rRNA". It matches the Rfam family "Bacterial small subunit ribosomal RNA", at positions 27 to 507 of the family's 1533-position model. The record is from RNAcentral.